CUGAGCCAGUCGUUCCUGUCGGAAGGGCGGGCCUGCUCAUCCUGGCGAGAAUUUGCUUUUCUGCUUUAUAGGGGAUUGCAGGCCAGGCCCACUGACAGGAGCACCUUGAGAACCACCUGAACAGAAGAGAAUGAGGGUGCCCCAAAGUGGAAGGAAGCUUCUGGCCCCUGGGCCGUUUUGGGAAGGGCCCAGGAUACUCACGGGGGCUGAAGGGCAAUGUGAAGAGUGACUGCAAGUCCUGGCAUUUUCUGUGGUGUCAGCAAAUGCCCCUUUAUUUUAAAUGAUUCCAGACAUCUGGGCAGCAUAGCUUGGCCACCAUCACUCAGGCUUGAUCCUGCUGUUGAGCUGCUCCUGUCUCCUGUUUACCUCACUCCUGUUGGGAAGGCCAUCGCAUGCUCCUAGGCUCCAGAGUCCCCUGUAGGUCUCUACCAGCAGGUCGCCUCUGGGAGAACGUUUCAUCUUCAGGCUCUAGAAACUCCUGUUGCGGAAUUGCUGGCUUUAGUAGAAAAGAUAUGUCAGGAUUUAGAAAUCGUAUUGAACUCUCCUGGACUUCUGCUCCAUGAUUUCAUUUUGCUUUCACGAACCAGCGAUCCCUACCUUGGGGUGGGAAAUUCAAUUGUAGGCAGCAAAUAACUCAACCCUCCUGUAACCCCUGAGGAUUAUAACGACCCCAUGACCCCCGAUGACAGCCAGCAGUUUGGUGACUAGAGUUUUUUGAGCCUGCCAUUCUCAGUAGCAGCUUUGGUCUGGAGAUGGAACGUGGAGCAGGGAAUCUGACAGCCACGUUUCUCGUGAUCACGUGGACUGGAGUUGUUUUUGUUAUCUGGGGUGGAAAAUUGCAAUGAUCAAGUUUCUUUUUUAUUUUUUUUUUACUUAGAAAAGCAAAUAUUGUGUUUUUGUAAUAAAUCCCUUUCAGCAAAAUUGCGGAGGAUCAUUCAUCCACUAGGGCCCCACCUGAGGCACAGCGCUGACUCAUCACGGUGGUACCAGUAGGUCAGCCAUCUGGAAACAGAAGUGGCCCUAAUUGGGCCAAAAUGUGGUAAGACUCGCUGGCCUCAGGCAGGGCCAGGCCAGUUCCCUCACUUCUCUGCACACCUAUUCCCAGAUUCCAUCCAGAGCAAAGCUGAUGUUUAUCGUCUCAUUGUACUUAGGCUUUCGUACUUUAAAAAAUUAUGACUUUUUAAAAAUAAGCCUUCAGCAGACAGAAGUGAAGAAAUUUAGCCUGGGUUGCCUCAGCAACAAAGUCUGCGGUUCCUAAGAGCCACAUGUUGGGGAAGUGGGGUGACCCAAACUUGGUGACAUAGGUUGAUUGAUCAGACCCUCAGCCUUACAAGCAAGAGCUCAUGCAGAUCCACAGAGCCAUGCACAUCCUGUCUUCCUGACCUUCCUCAGGUGGCACCACCUGCGCCCCAUGGACCUGCUGUAUCGGUGUCAUGUGGAGGUCUGAUGAAUCCUUUAAAACCUAACUGUGAUGUCGUAAAUGUAACUGUGCUACCUUUAUAUCUACUGAAGGGCAGCGUCUGCAUCCGAGGGAAAUUCAACAUGAAACAACCAUCGUUUUAGUUGCACUCAGUCUGUCCAUAUGACAUACACAUGAAGUGAAUGUUUCCUUAUGUUUUCAGGUCUACAAUGUUUAGUACAUGUAAAUAAGGAAAAAAUUUGAUAAAUAUGGUAAAUUAAGUUAUAGCGUGUCAUUUGAUUCUUAUUUUGCUGUCUCUUGUUAUUUAAUUUUCCUAAUGCUCCACAUCUAGGUUCCUUCCUAGGUGGUGGGAACACCUUGCAGACGUGUGUGCACCAGGACACACCGCGGCCCAGGCAGCCACACCGAGAAAGCACACAUCUCCACUGAUGGCAGCCACCCGACUCUCCAGUUAACCUCUUUUACUCUUUAAUUCUGAUUUACUGUGAUGAUUUAAUAAAGUGGAAACACAGC
RNAcentral lists this long non-coding RNA (1933 nucleotides) under Homo sapiens (human). RNAcentral describes it as "non-protein coding lnc-RALGAPA2-5:2". The record is from RNAcentral. Lineage: Eukaryota; Metazoa; Chordata; Mammalia; Primates; Hominidae.